This is a long non-coding RNA of Myxocyprinus asiaticus (Chinese sucker), 3353 nucleotides long. RefSeq lists it as uncharacterized. The record is from RefSeq and is a predicted model, not a curated record. NCBI's taxonomy places the organism in Eukaryota, Metazoa, Chordata, Actinopteri, Cypriniformes, Catostomidae. The transcript is spliced from 3 exons.
CAUUUUUGGGUGAACUGUCCCUUUAAAUCUGCCAAAUUUUCUCCUUUUUGUUAUUUUUUAUUAAUCAAUUUCUCUUGACAAUAUAUUUAUGAAGUGUUAAUCAGCAUGUCUAUGAAUCUCAAUUAAAAUGCCUUCAGGACUCCCAUAGUGCAAUAAUGUAUAAAUAUGUCAUGUACAUAUGUAAAUUCACUCAUAUUUAAUUCAGUAACUGUACAUACCCCUACCUUACACACAUAUUAUCACUUGCACAUGUACGUACGUGUUGUGUAUUUUGUUGGUUCAUGUUUUUCAUGUCUUAUUUUGAAAUUUCUAGUUCCUGUUUCAUGUCAUGUGGUUCCCUUGUCAUGUGAUUUCAUGUUUCCCUCCAUGUUCAUGUGUCUUGUUUUCAUUGGUUGAUUGUCUUGUUAUCUUGUUUAGAGUUCUUUGUGUUUAUUGGUUAUCUUUGUCAUGUGUUCUCCCAUAUCAUGUAUUUAACCCUCAUGUUUUCCAUUGGCAGGUAUUGUUUGUGAAUGUAACUUUGUUGGAUUAUUCAAGUUUAUGUCUAGUCUAGUUAUGCCAAGCCAAGUUUAUGUUAUAUCAAGUUCAUGUUUAUUUAUGAUUGUAGUUAGGGUUUUGGAUGCACUGUUGGAAUAAAUUUGCACUUGGGUUCUUCUUCGUCAUCGUCUUUGCCAGUGCCAGCAACAUAUGUUACAAUACGGCAUUCUAAGUUAUAUGUCCUAUUUUUUUGUAUGUCUAUUUAAACUCUUACCUUAUUUUAUAUUCUGUGUCUCACUGUAAUGUUCUGUGUGCACUUGCUUGUUUCUAUCACCAAAAAAAAUUCCUUGUGUACGUGAGCACACUUGGCAAUAAAGCUGAUUCUGAUUCUGAGCUUGCUAAUGGUAUCUUGAUACCCCCCUCCCAACAACCCCUUUGCCAAAGGCUUUCGUGACAAUGGACUGAACAGGAAAAGGUUUAGAGAAAAAGAGACGCAGGUUUCAGAUGGACAGAUCAAACAGGAUUUGAAUGUGGCAGAACGAGCAAGCAUUGGGACGGUCACAGGAAGAUGUGGAUGUGACAGUAUCCAGUUCUGUUGAAUACAGCGGUGCACUGAAUACAUUAGACAGCACUGCUUCCUCUGUCAAUCCUUUUAUAUCAGCAUUCAUAAACCCAAGCACUGCUGGAGUAUAUUCACCACACCAAACACACAACAUUCUCAACCUCAAAAACAGAAUCCAAAACAAUACUGUAAUACAGUAAACAUAAUGCAGAUUUUUUAUUUUGUUGCAGUGCUAGAAAAUUAUUGUUUUUAAUAAGUAAUUAAACGUAUUAAAGAGGUAGUUCUCCCAAAAAUGAAUUCUGUCAUCAUUUACUCACCCCCACGUCCCCUUUUGGAACACAAAAGGGGAAUUUUUAAAGAAUAUCCUGGCCGCUGUUUUCCAUAUAAUGAAAGUGAAUGAGGUCCUACAUUUCUGCUUGUUCCUCACAGAAGGCUAUUGCAUAGCAGAUGAGUCGUAUGGACAAGGAUGCUUUUGUGGAUGCCUUUAUUUUUUGUAUUAUUAUUAUUAUUUUUACUUUUUUUAUUUUUUGUCAUUUUGUAACUUGACAACCUCAGACUUCAUUCACUUUUAUUAUAUGUUAAAGAGAGGCCAGGAUAUUAUAUAUAUAUAUAUAUAUAUAUAUAUAUAUAUGUUUGAAAUUACAUGAGGGUGAGUAAAUGAUGACAGAAUUGUCAUUUUGGAAUUGCCAUUCUAAACUUGUUACUCUGGUUUCCCUCUUAUUUCCCCUGUCCCAAUGAGGCUAGACCCUCCAGCCUCCAUAGUUUCUGUGCAGCGCUGCCCAUGGCUCAGAGCUCCUGUGCCCAGUCCUCCACAAUAGACACCAACCUCAGCAGACUGCCAUCUCAAAUCAGUGGCCACAGCCCAGUCUCUCAAACCCCCAGCAGAUCCAUAAUCCAUUCCAUUCUGACCAAGAAUCCUCAACUCAUGCAGCCUUAUCUCCAGACCCUCAUCAUCCUUCCCGCCAAUACCCUGACAUGGAGCUGCACUCUCUGCCUCCUAAACUGAGCCGCAUGCAACUACCUGAAAGUGCUCUCAGGAACCUGGAGAUGAACCCAGCCUCGGACUAUAUUAAUCCAAGACCACUCACCAACAUCCACAGUAGGAUCCAAGUCCAAGCAUUAGCCUCAGGAACAUCAGGGAAGGUCCCUCAACAUGAGCAGUAUCUCGGGGAGUCCGAAAGAGAGCUUCGCCCCCAUAUUUAUCCAACAGUUCAGAAUACAUUGGUCAGCAGUUUACAUUAAACAGCAUGUUGGCUCAACAGGCAAGAGACAGUCAGUUCGAACACAGGUCACAGCUGGACUAUCCCACUGCAAAGCCACAAACUGAAUACUAUUGUAAAAACAUAUUGGGAAAUUAAUUAAUAUUCCGGGUUCAAUAUAAGUCAAGCUCAGUUGACUGCAUUUGUGGCAUAAUAUUGAUUACAACAACAACAACAACAACAACAAAAAAAUGUCCACUCAUUCAUCCUUUUCUUUAAAAAAAGCAAAAAUUGAGGUUACAGUGAGGCACUUACGAUCGAAGUACAUGGGGCCCAUUUUCGGAGGGUUGUAAGGCAGGAAUUUGAAGCUUAUAAUUUUAUAAAAUUACUCGCAUUAUUUUUUCUGUUAAAACUUGGGUAUUAUUUGAGUUGUCAUGGCAACAAAGUUAUAAAAUUGGAUAUAAUUUUACACAGAAAAGUUUAGUAAGCAAUAUUAUCACACUAAAAUCAUGUUAACACACAUAUUGUUUAUGUCUUGUGGCUAUACUUUUAAAAACUGUGAGUAUUUUAAUGUUUAUGGAUUGGCCCCAUUUACUUCCAUUGUAAGUUCCUUAAUGUAUCUCAGAAUUGAGCUUUGUUUUUUGAAAAGGCGGGACAAAUAGAAAUGAAUUUUUUGUGGUAAUCAGCAUUAUGUCACAAAUGCUGUUGACUGAGCUUAAGUUGUAUUGAACCCAGAAUAUUUUGUUUAAAGUCAGUGAUCAUUUUGUUGCUCAUUUCCAAUGUCUACUGCUCUGCUUUAUUUGCAUGAUUGCUGUCUGUGUCACUCUGAACAGAUUAAGUUUGUGGACUAAGUGCAUUACAGGCAAACAAUGUAAAUAGUUUCAAUGGGAUAUGGGGUUGUUGAAUGCGUUGAAGUCAAUAUUUAUGUUUAGGAUUAAUAGUGCGUUAAUGAUCUGUGCUGGUUUCAAGACAUACAGCUCAAAUGUUUUCAGCAUAUGAAAAUCUUGAUCAAUAUCACACUGUUAGUGUCAUAAUAUCUGCUGUUUUAUGGGCUUCCUUUUUAUACUGAACCUAACUAUAGUAUCCUGUGUUGACAGUAUUUGUUAAAGGAAUAGUUC